This 95-nucleotide transfer RNA is filed under the name Cupriavidus respiraculi. Its description in RNAcentral is "tRNA-Ala". Lineage: Bacteria; Pseudomonadati; Pseudomonadota; Betaproteobacteria; Burkholderiales; Burkholderiaceae. The record is from RNAcentral.
GCGACACCUGGUUGGGGCCCGGCGCGACGUCGAGGGUGGCGAUCUCGCCAAGCGGGAUGUAGCUGGUGCCCGCAUUCGAGUUGCGCGCAUCGGCC